Molecule: ribosomal RNA, 235 nt
Filed under: uncultured bacterium
Lineage: Bacteria
Description: partial 16S ribosomal RNA
Rfam family: Bacterial small subunit ribosomal RNA
Source: RNAcentral
CGGACGGGUGAGUAACGCGUGGGUAACCUGCCUUGUACUGGGGGACAACAGUUAGAAAUGACUGCUAAUACCGCAUAAGCGCACAGUAUCGCAUGAUACAGUGUGAAAAACUCCGGUGGUACAAGGUGGACCCGCGUCUGAUUAGCUAGUUGGUAAGGUAACGGCUUACCAAGGCGACGAUCAGUAGCCGACCUGAGAGGGUGACCGGCCACAUUGGGACUGAGACACGGCCCAA